Molecule: non-coding RNA, 3403 nt
Organism: Camellia sinensis
Lineage: Eukaryota; Viridiplantae; Streptophyta; Magnoliopsida; Ericales; Theaceae
Source: RefSeq, a predicted model, not a curated record
UAUUGUUUUUGGUGGUGCUCUUCAUUAUAAUAUUAACUGUGGUUUGUUGCUAUAUAUAUAUAUAUACUAGCGUAUAUUCGUGCCUAAAGGCACGGUGUAAAUAAUGUUAGGAUUAGAAUAUAAUUGUAAUAUGCCCUUGAAAAUUAGCAUUAUAAGAUGUUAUGUCUGCACACUUGUGCAUACUUAAAUAGUCUUUGAGCAUGUGAGCUCAUAUUAUAUAAUUGUAAUAUGCCCUUGAAAAUUAGCAUUAUAAGAUGUUAUGUCUGAACACUUGUGCAUACUUAAAUAUGGCAUGGUUAUAUUACAUUUUUGAAGAUGUAGGUGAUUUUGUUGAUUCAUAUUCUUAUAUAUAUCCACUACUGUCAUACUUAAAAUUAUUUUUUAUAAUAUUUUUAAAACUAAUAUUAAAAAAUAUUAUUUUUAAAAAUAUUAUCGCAAAUGUCACAUUGGCAACCAUAUUAGAGAGUAGGUGCAUAUGUGGCAUUCUAUGAAAAAGAGUAAUAUAUAUAUAGCAUUUUUUGUUUUGAAAAUUGGUUAAAUUAGUUUGAAUGACUAGCUAAAAUAAAGAGUAUGGUUGGAACGCACAAUAGCUAAACUAAUUAGGUAAAAUAAAGAGUGUCAUUUUUUUGUACUUUAACUAGUAAAAAAUAAAGAGUGUGGUUGAAGAUGCUCUAAGAGUGUAAAUCUUAUGAUCAAAUUGCAUGACAGGAAGUAAAUAGGUUCAUUAGUUGAAAAUUUAGAUGCAGUGGCUGGAUGUAAUUUGUGCUAGGGCUUUUUAGGAGAGCUGAAAACCCUUUUUAGAUAAACAUAGAAGUUUCAUCAAAGAGGGGGUAUUGUUUGGUGUAGUGAUAAAUGCUUGAGUUCCCGUGUAUGAAAAUAUGGGUUGGAAUAAUAGGUCAUGGGAAUCUAAGAUUGAAUUUGUUUUAGAUGGUUAGGCUGACAAUAUUUUAAUCAUCAGGAAAAAAGUAUAGGGUGUCAAUGUGUGUUAUUUUAUCUUGCAUUUUUUAUAUUCAUUUGCAGUAACUUGUUUUCAAAUUCAUUUUUUGUUCCCAAAAGAAAGAAAAAAUGGCUUCAUCUUUAAUUCGGCUGGCUGCUGCUGCUUCUGCUGCAAUGUUAUAAAAAUGAAUUAAAAAAUGACACUCUGCAACAUGUGGUGUGCUGUGUAUACAACUAAGGAAGUGAAUGGUUUGCGGAAUGUGGGUGAAGUUGCACUUGUCGGGCAUGCAUGUUGAAGGGAAGGUAACAACUAGUAUAUUCUUAUUUUUAGACUAGACUCUGUAUGCAUGGUAUAUUUUUUCAUUUGUAUUAUAUGUUCAUAGCCUUUAAUGAAUUUGAAUAUUAUAUGAACGUUGAAAACUCAUGGUUAAGAUAUCUGUUAGACUUGUGGUUAACAAAUUAGAAAACUUGUUGAAUCUUUUGAUUGUUUGGUCUUGAAAUUCGACUUUCGAGAGCAGAGUGUUUGAACCUUGUUUUGUUUUUUGCUAGAAAUGUCCUGUUUAGGUUUUUGCCUCAUUUGAAUUGUUUUCAACACUCCUUUCGGGUUAGAUUUUAUUUGAAUUUAUCAGUAUUGUGAAGAUUUUUAUGUGUUUCAAUUGAAUUUCAAGUCUCACUUGAUGUCAUACAGUGUUUGGUAUGUUCCUCCCCCCCCACCCAUCCCAAACCACCACCAUAUUGUUUUGUUUAAGUGUUCUGAUACUUGUAAUUUCUCUGCUUCAUAUGUACUGCAGACAUGAGGAGAGAUGUGCAGGAGAUAUUCAAGACGACUCAUUAAAUUCAAGUUAUGAUGUUUUCUGCAACACUCAGCAAGGAAAUCUGUCCUGUUUGCAAGAAAUUUAUGCAAGAUAUCUUGGGAAACAUGAAGAAAGAUCCAGCGUCGUUGAUGCUGUUUACUGUUACAAAGAAACUGCACAAGCUUGGCUAUGUGCUUAAGAUGAGGGUUUCUUUUUGUAUCCUAUAACAUUUAAAUGUUAUGCAAAUCAACCAGGUUCGGUAGGUUGCUAUGAUUUGUAUAUGGAACCCUUUUGAAGAUAAGUUCUUUGCUAAAGCUAAUUAGUCAUUAUGAAAAACCUGCUGAGUUAUGCAGAUCAUACCUCUAGAAUUUUGAUUGUUGUACACUUAUACAUCCUUAUAAUGUUUCUUUGACAGAUUUAUCCAUUAGAGGAUGGUAAAGCGCGUUCUAUGUGGGAGGAAAUAGGAGCUCAAAUCUCAAUCCUAAGUCCUGACAGAUAUGGCCAUAUUGAUUGGUCAAUCUUUGAAGGUAUUAUUGUAAACUCACUUGGAGCAAAAGAUGCUAUUUCAAGGCGCGCGCUACAGCACCAUCAGAAUCUUCUUCACUUCUUACAGCAUAUGAUGGCUUUGGUCCCUUAGAUUGUGAUAGAAUCCAUGUUUCUUCUUGUGGGCAUGUUGUACAUCAAGCAUGUCUUGAUCGUUAUUUAUCAUCACUGAAAGAAAGUUGUGAUAAUAUUGAUAAAGUAGGGUUUCUUUAAACAUGUUGCUGGACAUGUGCAUGUAUUGAAAAGGCAUAUGCAAUGUUUUUAUGCUGCUAAUACAGGUAUGUUAGACGAAUUGUUUUUUAAGGAGGACUCAUUGUAGAUCCAGAACAGGGGAGUGUCUCUGCCCUGUAUGUCAUGGACUUGCAAAUUCAGCAUUGCCUACAUUACCUGGAGAUUCUCAAAAGGUUUCUAGACCACCAAUGGUUCAACUGUCAGUUGGCCAGAUGCUACAGGCCAAUUAUCCUCUACAAACAGGGAAACUGAUUUCCAUUGCUUUCGGGAAGCCUUGUCUCUUUUACGUAGUGCUGCUGAUGUUACUGGGAGGAGUAAAAUCCUAAAAGCUUUUCCAAUGCAUCGAAAUGGAAGGAUAAGACCGAAUCCUAAAUCCAUGUUUUGUGUACUAUCUGGAAUGUAUUUUCCAGGCAAACAGGAUAGGAUUUCAGGAUUUGCAAGCCACUCGGUAAUUAUGUGGGACACUCUUAAGUACUCUCUUAUUUCAGGAUCUGCUGAUGGUCUGCUAGUUUGCUGCUGCUGCUGCUGCCGGUGUGCUGCUGCAGAAUUUUGCUGGGUUGCUGCUGCUGCAAUGUUGCUGUGAAGUGGGCCGCUACUAGAUGCUGGUCUGCUGCAAAUUUGGGUUGUUAGUUUCAUGAUUUCAUUUUGUUAUCUGCUAUUUUUACUAUGGGUUCACAAUUUGGAUGUAUUUGAGUAUUUUAGUGAGUUUACAUUUUUAGGUUUUAUACAACGCUUCCAAAAACAUAUUUUUCAGCAGUGUUUUUUUACCUACACAUCAACUUUAGGUGAUUUAAUAUCAAGGUUAUUAGUUUGUAAUAGUAGUGCCUGAAGGAUGCAUCUUGUAAAUAUGUAAAUCUUAUAAAAAUAUAUAUAUGAUUUUCAAUUUUUUUUGCCGCUAC